AGCGAACGCUGGCGGCAGGCCUAACACAUGCAAGUCGAGCGCAGUAGCAAUACGGAGCGGCAGACGGGAGAGUAACACGUGGGAACGUACCCUUUGGUUCGGAACAACCCAGGGAAACUUGGGCUAAUACCGGAUAAGCCCUUACGGGGAAAGAUUCAUCGCCGAAGGAUCGGCCCGCGUCUGAUUAGCUAGUUGGUGGGGUAAUGGCCCACCAAGGCGACGAUCAGUAGCUGGUCUGAGAGGAUGAUCAGCCUCACUGGGACUGAGACACGGCCCAGACUCCUACGGGAGGCAGCAGUGGUGAAUAUUGGACAAUGGGAGCAAGCCUGAUCCAGCCAUGCCGCGUGGGUGAUGAAGGCCUUAGGGUUGUAAAGCCCUUUCGGCGGGGAAGAUAAUGACGGUACCCGCAGAAGAAGCCCCGGCUAACUUCGUGCCAGCCGCCGCGGUAA
This 449-nucleotide ribosomal RNA is filed under the name uncultured bacterium. Its description in RNAcentral is "partial 16S ribosomal RNA". It matches the Rfam family "Bacterial small subunit ribosomal RNA", at positions 29 to 523 of the family's 1533-position model. The record is from RNAcentral.